This 497-nucleotide ribosomal RNA is filed under the name uncultured bacterium. RNAcentral's name for it is "partial 16S ribosomal RNA". It matches the Rfam family "Bacterial small subunit ribosomal RNA", at positions 28 to 507 of the family's 1533-position model. The record is from RNAcentral.
GAUGAACGCUGGCGGCGUGCCUAAUACAUGCCAGUCGAGCGAACAGACGAGGAGCUUGCUCCUCUGACGUUAGCGGCGGACGGGUGAGUAACACGUGGAUAACCUACCUAUAAGACUGGGAUAACUUCGGGAAACCGGAGCUAAUACCGGAUAAUAUAUUGAACCGCAUGGUUCAAUAGUGAAAGACGGUUUUGCUGUCACUUAUAGAUGGAUCCGCGCCGCAUUAGCUAGUUGGUAAGGUAACGGCUUACCAAGGCAACGAUGCGUAGCCGACCUGAGAGGGUGGUCGGCCACACUGGAACUGAGACGCGGUCCAGACUCCUACGGGAGGCAGCAGUAGGGAAUCUUCCGCAAUGGGCCAAAGCCUGACGGAGCAACGCCGCGUGAGUGAUGAAGGUCUUCGGAUCGUAAAACUCUGUUAUUAGGGAAGAACAAAUGUGUAAGUAACUAUGCACGUCUUGACGGUACCUAAUCAGAAAGCCACGGCUAACUACGUG